Molecule: long non-coding RNA, 1205 nt
Filed under: Panax ginseng (ginseng)
Lineage: Eukaryota; Viridiplantae; Streptophyta; Magnoliopsida; Apiales; Araliaceae
Description: long non-coding RNA (PGIN_LNC014451)
Rfam family: MIR6143 microRNA precursor family (bases 944-1032)
Source: RNAcentral
UAAUUUUUAACUGACAUAAUUCCUUAAGUGACAAUUUUUAAAAGCCAAGCCUUCAUCCUGCGUUUGUGUCUUCUCUCCAAACCCAAAUCUAGUGCCCUAACUUUCCUUCGCUCGCUUCUAUUUCUCUCCAAACCCUCUCCCCAAAUUCGCGAUUUAGACAACUCACAACCAAAUCGGAAGUCCCGGAGCUUCUGUCAGAUUCGCGAAGUCCCGGAGCCUUCAUUAGCUUCACUAAGGAUCUCUCUUCUCAACUGAAGCUUCUGUCAGAUUCACGGAUUUGGGUUUUUUUCAACUGCCAGAUUCGCGUCUUCCUCCUGCGUCUCUGUCAACUGAAGCUUCUCAACAGAUGAUUCAUUUUCUGUUUUUUGCGGGUUAAUUGCAUAGAUUUGGAACUGAAAUGAAAUUUUUACCGAGACAUGUAACUAAAAUAAGUGCUGCAUAAUUUCCAACAACUAAUAGCAGAUAAUCGUUUAGUGUGUUUUUUCUUGGAUAAUGAAUCAUCUGUUGUACACAAUGUAUCUUAUGGUGGAUGUGAAGGUUGCAAAACUCAUGAUUAGUGGGCAUUCUUUGUCAGAGUCAACUGAAUUUUCUUGCAAAUCCAAUUCAACCACACAAGAACUCGUAGGAUUAUCAAUUGAAGCACUCUCAAUUACUUGAGCUAUCUGUUUUGUCAAUGUAACGCAUAAGUUAGGGCAGAGGAUUUGGGUUUGAACGAGUUACAUUGACUUAAACGAGUUACAUUGAGCUAUCUACAUUGACUUACUAAGAUUUGGGUUUUUUUUCAAAAGACGCUGAAGGAGGAAGGCUUGACUAUUAAAAAUUAUGUCACUUAAGAAAUUAUGUCAGCUAAAAAUUAUGCUCAUGAAAUUUUUUGUAUAUAUAUAUAUAUAUAUAUAUAUAUAUAUAUAUAGAGUGGUUAGCAUGAAGUGAACUUCAUGGUAAGUUCACUUAAUGCCCAAUAUAGUGCUGACACUCAGGCGGAGAGAUCACCCUCUUGUCUGUGUGUCAACACUGUAUUGGGUAUGAAGUAAACUUACCAUGAAGUUCACUUCAUGCUAACCGGAUCCAUAUAUAUAUAUAUAUAUAUAUGUGUGUGUGUGUGUGAGAGAGAGAGAGAGAGAGAGAGAGAGAGAGAGAAUAAUUUAUAGUAUGUAUUUGAUAUGAAUUUUUAAAAGGCAUACACUUUUUAUACCAUUAAAAAAAAG